This is an RNA transcript of Myxocyprinus asiaticus (Chinese sucker), 2495 nucleotides long. It is a transcript of the gene named solute carrier family 35 member C2-like, with no coding region annotated. The transcript is spliced from 9 exons. NCBI's taxonomy places the organism in Eukaryota, Metazoa, Chordata, Actinopteri, Cypriniformes, Catostomidae. The record is from RefSeq and is a predicted model, not a curated record.
GGACACUAAUAUUACUGGACCACCGCUUUACCGUGUAUCUGCGAUCUGGCGCGGUUCACAAUGGCUUGGAGAACUAGUGAGAGAAUUUACACCAAGAAAGAAAAUAAACAUUUCGUGUUCAAACACUUCUAGUGAUCUGCUCAGUGUGGAAUUCACACUAUGUCAACAUAGCAACGUGCACCUCAUAGCUGAAGUAACUCGGGGGUGCCUGUUGGUUGACAAACAGAUAGCUUUUUGAAUGACACAAGUAUAGGAAGAAGUAGCGCGCUAAUGUCUCCCUUGCACGCAAAUGAUGGUCACAUAGCGUUUGAUGUCGUUUACGAGGAUUAUGUAAACACUGAGUGGUCCUGUAAUCAUCCAUAUCUCCCCAGAGAAGCUGCACAUUGGUUGUCCAGGAUGGCAUGCCGAUGCAGUUCAUCUGCAGGGAGAUGCGCACUGUGGGCUGGUGCUUUUCUAUUAUGUAUUUUCAAUUGGCAUAACAUUCUACAACAAGUGGCUCAUGAAGGUGUGGUAAAGGACUUCCACUUUCCUUUAUUCAAGAUCCUAGUCCACCUCACUAUAAUAUUCUGUUUCUCUACACUGGCACGCUGUGCCUUGCAGUGCUGGAUGGGAAAGCUUCGAGUAACCUUGUCCAGGAAAGUCUACAUUUCUAAAGUUGCCCCAACAGCACCGACCCACCAUGGCAUGGACUAUACAAGACCCCUGAAGGUGACCUGUGGUUUCUGGCACCAAGACAUUAGCAGCAGAUCCUUCAAGUCCUCCCUGGCAACAGCGCUGGAUAUGGGACUAUCCAACUGGAGCUUCCUUUUCAUCACAAUCAGUUUGUCUACCCAGUUUUAUCUGGAGGGCUUCAUCAUGGUCCUCUUUGCCUCUUUUAUUGGAGGAAUCCGCUGGACUCUCACCCAAGUCCUAAUGCAGAAAGCUAAGCUGGGCCUCCAGAACCCCAUUGACACCAUGUACCAUCUGCAGCCCCUCAUGUUCCUGGGCCUCUUUCCUAUGUUUCUUCUUAAUGAGGGUUAUUUGGAUGGCUGAGUGUGAGUACCACAGAGAAGCUCUUCCAGGUCACCGAGCUCUCCCACCUGCUGUACUCUCUGGUGACUCUGUCUGUGGGGGGCUUGCUGGCUUUUGGACUCAGCUUCUCCGAGUUCCUGUUGGUGUCCCGCACGUCCAGCCUCACACUGUCUUUUGCAGGCAUUUCAUAAGAUACUUUCAGACCCAAUAUGAGUUUUGUUUUUGUUUUCAUUCACAUUUUUGCUUACAUUUUGUUUACAUUUAGCUUCCUAUUUUUAUUUUUUGCAUUCCUCAUGUUUUCCCAUGCAGAACCUCUCUAUAUACUGUAUCUUUUUAUUUCUGUCCCAUUCUCAGAAGUUCAGCUAGCUUUCAAAGCAAAGCCUUCAUUAGCUUUAUUAAAACAAAUAUUACUCAAAUAAGCAUUCUUCUUAAACACAUUACCCUGUCUUGUCUUUGUCACCCCUAGGAGGUGUGCACUCUGCUGCUGGCAGUAGAGUUCAUGGGGGAUAAAAUGAGUACAGUUAACUGGCUGGGCUUUGCCAUCUGUCUGUCUGGCAUAUCACUCCAUAUUGGCCUCAAAACACUAUAACAAAGGAAAUAGCCCUACGGUGAGAAAGCUACCAGGCAGAGACAACCCAGACAUUGAGCUUCCACUUCUGCUGGCAAAAGAAGACUAUUAUGAAGACACAAAUGAUGAAGAGGAGCAUGAGAUUCUCCAUUAGAUUGAGGAGGACAUAUAAUGCCACAAAAUCUAUAUACUGAAGAGGGCUGUAGAGACACAAGGAAUGUUCUCCUUUAAGGCCUUUAUUGAUGGUCACAUUGAUGACAGAAAGAGAACAAGACACAGAUAUGAUUUAAAAAGAUAUGAAAAGCCACUGGACACUUGUGGUAUAAUGCACUACUAGUGUAUAUAUCUAUGUAGUCUGUCUUUCUUUCAUACUGAAGGAACACAGAGAAAACCUUUGCUCUUUGGUAGACAGGAGAUCUCUUAAACUGCUUGUGGCCUCAGCACAGAACCAAUCUCCAAGUGGCCUUACUUCUGUUUACCUGACAAUAAAGGACUUAUUUUACUAAAGAUCCAUUCUUUAUCAGUACCUCAUCAUAAUUAGUUUACUUAUUAUGACCAAUAGAAUGUGAGAGAAUAACUAUACUGUACAUGUUUUGCAAUAUAAUGAAUGGACAAGGAUUCCUUCCCUUUUACUUUUAUGCCUGGCACUUAUAAAUGGUGUGUAUUUACCAAGGUUAAUCAUCAUUCAGCCUAUUUCUAUCAGACGUGUGAGAGGAGGCAGAGUUCAGCAAAGCAGAUUAUAUAAUUAGAUUUACUCCUUUGGAGCUUUCAUGAAGAGGGAAGAAAGUUUGCAAAUCCAUCAACCUGAAACUGGGUUGAUUGAGUUUGUCUAGUGGAUCGACAUGCAAGUGAAAGGACCGAUUUCAGUUCCGAGAACUUUGCAGAAGGAAAGGUUGUUUCAGGAGAUGGGAAUGAA